RNAcentral lists this ribosomal RNA (1089 nucleotides) under Petrakia echinata. RNAcentral's name for it is "partial large subunit ribosomal RNA". It matches the Rfam family "Eukaryotic large subunit ribosomal RNA", at positions 30 to 1142 of the family's 3401-position model. Lineage: Eukaryota; Fungi; Ascomycota; Dothideomycetes; Pleosporales; Melanommataceae. The record is from RNAcentral.
AAAAACUAGCAAUCAAUAAGCGGAGGAAAAGAAACCAACAGGGAUUGCCUCAGUAACGGCGAGUGAAGCGGCAAUAGCUCAAAUUUGAAAUCUGGCUCUUUCAGGGUCCGAGUUGUAAUUUGCAGAGGGCGCUUUGGAGUCGGCAGCAGCCUAAGUUCCUUGGAACAGGUCAUCAUAGAGGGUGAGAAUCCCGUAUGUGGCUGCUUGCCUUCGCCGUGUAAAGCCCCUUCGAUGAGUCGAGUUGUUUGGGAAUGCAGCUCUAAAUGGGAGGUAAAUUUCUUCUAAAGCUAAAUAUUGGCCAGAGACCGAUAGCGCACAAGUAGAGUGAUCGAAAGAUGAAAAGCACUUUGGAAAGAGAGUCAAAAAGCACGUGAAAUUGUUGAAAGGGAAGCGCUUGCAGCCAGACGUGCCCGUAGUUGCUCAUCUGGGGUUCUCCCCAGUGCACUCUUCUAUGGGCAGGCCAGCAUCAGUCCGGGCGGUUGGAGAAAGACCUGUGUCACGUAGCUCUCUUCGGGGAGUGUUAUAGGGCAGGUGGAAUGCAACCAGCCUGGACUGAGGUCCGCGCAUCUGCUAGGAUGCUGGCGUAAUGGCUGUAAGCGGCCCGUCUUGAAACACGGACCAAGGAGUCUAACAUCUAUGCGAGUGUUUGGGUGUCAAGCCCGAGCGCGUAAUGAAAGUGAACGGAGGUGGGAACCCCUCGGGGUGCACCAUCGACCGAUCCUGAUGUCUUCGGAUGGAUUUGAGUAAGAGCAUAGCUGUUGGGACCCGAAAGAUGGUGAACUAUGCCUGAAUAGGGUGAAGCCAGAGGAAACUCUGGUGGAGGCUCGCAGCGGUUCUGACGUGCAAAUCGAUCGUCAAAUUUGGGCAUAGGGGCGAAAGACUAAUCGAACUAUCUAGUAGCUGGUUCCUGCCGAAGUUUCCCUCAGGAUAGCAGUAACGUUUUCAGUUUUAUGAGGUAAAGCGAAUGAUUAGAGGCCUGGGGGUUGAAACAACCUUCACCUAUUCUCAAACUUUAAAUAUGUAAGAAGUCCUUGUUUCUUAAUUGAACGUGGACAUUUGAAUGUAUCGUUACUAGUGGGCCAUUUUGUA